AGCAUCGAUGGAUCGACGGGUGCCCCCCUCGGCCGCGCGCCGGAGGGGGGAGAAUAGGGAAGCCGGUGCGAAUCCGGCGCGGGGCCGCCGCUGUGAUCGGCCAGGCUUCGGACGUUGCGACCACUGCCCACGGGUGGGAAGGUCGUCCGAGGGCCGCCAGGAGCCGAGAGCCAGAAGACCUGCCCGUCGAAGCGACGUCGA
This 201-nucleotide non-coding RNA is filed under the name Planctomycetales bacterium. The record is from RNAcentral. Lineage: Bacteria; Pseudomonadati; Planctomycetota; Planctomycetia; Planctomycetales.